UAUAAUCUAGCAAAGCUUGUUGAAUUUAUAAUUUACUGAUGGUGCUAAAAACAUUAUAUUGUUAAGUAAAGGUGAUUAAAAUUUAAUAUAGGAUGUUGAUGCUUAAGUACUGAGAAGGAAUAAAGAUUAAAUAAAUAGAAAGAAGAGAGUUAUUCUCGUACCUUUUGUAUCAUGGUUUAGCUAGAGUUAUAUUUUGGACUAAAAUAUCUCGAAAUCUAAUGGGCUAUCCUAGGCUGCUAUUAUAGUAGUAAAGAAGUAGUUGUGGCAAAAACUUUUCUAAAGCCUAGGAUAGAAAUGAAAUUUCAUCCGUAUUAGAUGAUAGCUAGUUCUUUCGGAAAAGCAUAGAAGUGCUUAAAACUGAAGUUUUUAAAUUAAAACAAACCAGAUAAACUAAAAACCCAGUUUUAACAAAUUCUAGAGGAUGAGCUCUAAAAUUAAGUUAAAAUCUUAUAAAAAUUUUUUAUUAAAUUUAAGCUUGAAAAUAGCUUCAAUAUUAAGAUUUUGUUAUAAUUUCAUUCUAAUUUAGUAAACAAAAUUAAUCUAUUUUUAUGUACGAAAGUUAUAUCAAAAAUAAAAGCGAUUUAAAUUAAUGCUAAAAUGAGUAUUUCAGGCUAUUUAUAAUUAACCUAAUUUAAAUUAAAUUAAUUAGGCGACAUAAUAUUAUUUUGGCAACAAAACCACAUAAAGGAACUCGGCAAAGUUAUGUUCCGCCUGUUUAUCAAAAACAUGGCUCCUUGGAAUUUUAUUUAUAAGGAGUCGGACCUGCCCAGUGAUUGAUUUUUCAACGGCCGCGGUACUCUGACCGUGCAAAGGUAGCAUAAUCAUUUGCCCUAUAAUUGAGGGCUAGUAUGAAUGGUUUGACGUGAACAAGACUGUCUCUAUGUGGUUUACUAAAACUUGAUUUUUAGGUGAAGAAACCUAGAUUUCAUUGAUAGACAAGAAGACCCUAUUGAGCUUUAAAAAAAUAGAUUGAGAAUAAUAUAUAACUUUAAAUAUUAAUCUACCUAAAAUUUUGGUUGGGGCGACUGUGGAACAAACAAAGCUUCUUUAUAUCUAAAAGACUUACAGGUUUUGAUCCAGAAAUUUUGAUUAAUGAAAUUAGUUACCAUAGGGAUAACAGCAUAAUUCUCUUCAAGAGUUCUUAUCGAAAAGAGAGUUUGUGACCUCGAUGUUGGACUAGAAUAUCCUGAAGAUGCAGCAGUCUUCAAGGGUUGGUCUGUUCGACCAUUAAAAUUCUACAUGAUCUGAGUUCAGACCGGCGUGAGCCAGGUCAGUUUCUAUCUUCAAUUAUUAGUAUUUGAGUUUAGUACGAAAGGACCAAUUCAAAGUAAGAUUUAUUUAAGAAGAUGCAGUAUAAUCUAGAAAUAAAUAAUUUAAUAUUUACAUAC
This 1388-nucleotide ribosomal RNA is filed under the name Cypraea tigris. RNAcentral's name for it is "16S ribosomal RNA". The stretch from base 107 to 1312 matches the Rfam family "Bacterial large subunit ribosomal RNA". The record is from RNAcentral. Lineage: Eukaryota; Metazoa; Mollusca; Gastropoda; Littorinimorpha; Cypraeidae.